GGGAUAACCGGGAGAAAUUCCGACUAAUACCGCAUACGUCCUCCGGGGGCAUCCCUGGGGGAUGAAAGAGUUAUCGGUGAAGGAUGGGCAUGCGUGAUAUUAGGUAGUUGGCGGGGCAACGGCCCACCAAGCCCACGAUAUCUAGGGGUUCUGAGAGGAAGGUCCCCCACAUCUCUACUGAGACACGGACCAAACUCCUACGGGAGGCAGCAGUGAGGAAUAUUGGUCAAUGGACGAGAGUCUGAACCAGCCAAGUCGCGUGAAGGAAGACGGAUCUAUGGUUUGUAAACUUCUUUAGUGCGGGAACAAAGCGGCGUCGAGACGCCUGAUGAGUGUACCGCAAGAAUAAGCAUCGGCUAACUCCGUGCCAGCAGCCGCGGUAAUACGGAGGAUGCGAGCGUUAUCCGGAUUUAUUGGGUUUAAAGGGAGCGCAGGCUGCGAGGCAAGUCAGCGGUCAAAUGUCGGGGCUCAACCCCGGCCUGCCGUUGAAACUGUCCUGCUAGAGUUCGAGUGAGGUAUGCGGAAUGCGUUGUGUAGCGGUGAAAUGCAUAGAUAUGACGCAGAACUCCGAUUGCGAAGGCAGCAUACCAACUCGCGACUGACGCUGAGGCUCGAAAGCGUGGGUAUCGAACAGGAUUAGAUACCCUGGUAGUCCACGCAGUAA
Molecule: ribosomal RNA, 664 nt
Filed under: uncultured bacterium
Lineage: Bacteria
Description: bacterial SSU rRNA
Rfam family: Bacterial small subunit ribosomal RNA
Source: RNAcentral